RNAcentral lists this ribosomal RNA (16 nucleotides) under Nostoc cf. commune 257-16. RNAcentral's name for it is "partial 23S ribosomal RNA". Lineage: Bacteria; Bacillati; Cyanobacteriota; Cyanophyceae; Nostocales; Nostocaceae. The record is from RNAcentral. RNAcentral also lists the same sequence under 1 other name.
GGUCAAGCUAAUAAGG